This is a transfer RNA of Natronomonas pharaonis DSM 2160, 73 nucleotides long. It matches the Rfam family "tRNA". Rfam says of the family: Transfer RNA (tRNA) molecules are approximately 80 nucleotides in length. Lineage: Archaea; Methanobacteriati; Methanobacteriota; Halobacteria; Halobacteriales; Natronomonadaceae. The record is from Rfam.
AGUCCCGUGGUGUAGUGGCCAAUCAUAUGGGCCUUUGGAGCCCAUGACGCUGGUUCGAAUCCAGCCGGGACUA